UACAGAGGUCCCAAGCGUUGUUCGGAAUUAUUGGGCGUAAAGGGUGCGUAGGCGGCAGGGUAAGUUAGAUGUGAAAUACCGGGGCUUAACCUCGGAAUUGCAUUUAAGACUGCCUUGCUCGAGUUCUAGAGAGGAGACUGGAAUUUACGGUGUAGCAGUGAAAUGCGUAGAUAUCGUAAGGAAGACCAGUGGCGAAAGCGAGUCUCUGGCUAGAAACUGACGCUGAGGCACGAAAGCUGGGGGAGCAAACGGG
Molecule: ribosomal RNA, 253 nt
Filed under: uncultured bacterium
Lineage: Bacteria
Description: partial 16S ribosomal RNA
Rfam family: Bacterial small subunit ribosomal RNA
Source: RNAcentral